Molecule: long non-coding RNA, 1653 nt
Organism: Oreochromis niloticus (Nile tilapia)
Lineage: Eukaryota; Metazoa; Chordata; Actinopteri; Cichliformes; Cichlidae
Source: Ensembl
AAAUCACUCUGUGCCUCACCUGCCUGCCCUCCUGCCAUCACACUCCAUCUGAAGACCCUGGAUCUCAGGUCAGCCUUGCCACGCCACUCAGCUCCCCUGGAUUCUCGUCACUCCCCUCUCAACAUUCUGUGUCCCCUACUGCAAUGUGACUGUUCCCUGCUCAGUUCCAAUCUGCAUCUCAGGCCCCGUUCCCUCGCCCUAGCCACGUUUCCCAGGCCACGCCACGUCAAACUCUACAUCUUAUUGUUUCUUUUUGUCCUUGCUACGUUUCUACUGCUUAAGGGAAACAAAAUAUUCUUAAACCAUCUGCUGUCUCUGCUCUGGGCUUCUGCUCCUGAGUUCAGUUCAGUACAGACCACUCGGUCCCGUGACAAUGGUGAGGAUGGCAACUGAUGCACCGUUCAACACUGGUUCCAAAAUGUCAGUGUCCUGAAGAAAAGUAAAAUAAAAUAUUGAAUUAUUGAAAAAAGACACACUAUAAACAAAACACAUUUCUAAAGAUUUUAACUUUAACCUGUAUACCAGGGAUGUCAAAGUGAAAUACAUCGGAGGGCCAAAAAAAGAAAUUUGCUACAAGCUGAGGGCCGAACUGGUUCAAUGUUUAUUAAAACAUAUUAAAAUGAUUGCACAUAACCUAUUGAACCAAGACCUAACACAGUGUACUGUAUAUUAUUUAACGAUUAAAUGAAUAAUCCAAUAUUUUCUAUGGCUCUGUCAGUAAUUUUAAGUGAAAACAUUUUUCAACAGCCUCACAGACAAAAACAAACUUACUUCAAAGAAAAAUUGCAUGUCCUGUACAUUAAAUGAAUAAAGCAAUAUUUUCUCAUGGCUCUCAGUUAUUUUGAAAGAAAACAUUUUCAACAGGCAAACAGCAAAAAAGUAAAUGUCAUUCAUAAACAAAAUAUGCUCCUUAAUAUUAAGAUGAAUGCAUAAAUGAAAUUACAUGCAUUAUAAACUGAAAGUGCAAUAUCCUACCAAUCACUGCUUUCCAAUAGUAAAAAGAGAAAAUUGAAAAAAAAACAAACAAUCAAAUCAGUUGUAUUCUUUCUCAUGGCUCUUAUCUGCAAUUUUCCCUGAGUCUAUUAACUGAAAAAUAAAUAUAAAUAAAUAAAAUACAAUAAGAUAAAAUACAAAAAUCUAUGGCACACAGACAAAACAAUACUUCCUUCAAAGAAAAAUCACAUCUUGUAGAAACAAAUGUAAAAAAAUGUAACUGAAUUAAAAACUAAAAAUACAUAAAUGUUCUGCGAUGCUCACUUGUCUGAGCCAGAGACUUGGUGGUGUCUCAUCUUUUGUACGAGUUCAUCAAUGUUCGGGGUCAGGCUCUGAGCUGAGGAAAUCCUCAGAAUUGAGUCAAGGUGUUUAUCAGUAAGACGGCUCCGGUGUGAUGUUUUGUUUAGCUUCAUCAAAGAGAACAAUUGUUCACACAGGUAUGUGCUGCCAAACAUGGAGAGCGUCUGAGCAGCUUGGAUGCGCAGCUGAGGCAUUGCGUCGGGGAUGAAACGUGCAAACUCAGUGGCACCCACUCUCUCAUAUUUUUCCCUCAGUGUCCCUCCAUUUGGAGGUUUGGUGGUGCGCUUUCCACAUCAACUCCAAAAGGAUUGGCAAGUAGUUCGAACCUGCUUUUUUGAGCUUCAAAGUCAGCAAAUCGGC